This 18-nucleotide microRNA is filed under the name Oryzias latipes (Japanese medaka). Its description in RNAcentral is "ola-miR-24c". Its record names the gene ola-miR-24c. Lineage: Eukaryota; Metazoa; Chordata; Actinopteri; Beloniformes; Adrianichthyidae. The record is from miRBase by way of RNAcentral.
UGGCUCAGUUCAGCAGAA